GCCUAGCCGUAAACAAUUUAUUUACAUAUUCUAACGCCCGGGUAUUACGAGCAAUGCUUAAAACCCAAAGGACUUGACGGUGUCCCACCCACCUAGAGGAGCCUGUUCUAUAAUCGAUAAUCCCCGCUUUACCUAACCAUUCUUUGCCUAAUCAGUCUGUAUACCUCCGUCGAAAGCUUACCAUAUGAACGCCCAUAGUAAGCCUAAUGGUCUCUCACCAACACGUCAGGUCAAGGUGCAACUUAUAGAAUGGAAAGAAAUGGGCUACAAUUUCUAAGAUAGAAUAAACGAAAGGCUGCCUGAAACCCCAGUCAUGAAGGAGGAUCUAGUAGUAAAAAGAGAACAGAGAGCUCUUCUUAACUUGGCACUGAGACGCGUACACACCGCCCGUCACCCUCUUCAAUAGUUUUUCGUUUAGAUUAUUAACAAAUUAGCUACGCCUU
RNAcentral lists this ribosomal RNA (443 nucleotides) under Meristogenys maryatiae. RNAcentral's name for it is "partial 12S rRNA". It matches the Rfam family "Bacterial small subunit ribosomal RNA", at positions 794 to 1449 of the family's 1533-position model. The record is from RNAcentral. Lineage: Eukaryota; Metazoa; Chordata; Amphibia; Anura; Ranidae.